This 458-nucleotide ribosomal RNA is filed under the name uncultured bacterium. Its description in RNAcentral is "partial 16S ribosomal RNA". It matches the Rfam family "Bacterial small subunit ribosomal RNA", at positions 28 to 507 of the family's 1533-position model. The record is from RNAcentral.
GACGAACGCUGGCGGCGUGCUUCAUACAUGCAAGUCGAACGAGAAGCUGACUUCGGUCAGUGGAAAGUGGCGGACGGGUGAGUAAUAUGUAGGAAAUCUGCCUUUAGGAGGGGGACAACAGAGGGAAACUUCUGCUAAUACCCCAUAUGAGCGUAGCUGAAAUGCUAUUCUUGAAAACUCUGGUGCCUAAAGAUGAGCCUGCAUCUGAUUAGCUAGUUGGUAGUGUAAUGGACUACCAAGGCGACGAUCAGUAGCUGGGUUGAGAGGAUGAUCAGCCACAAUGGGACGGAGGCACGGCCCAUACUCCUACGGGAGGGAGCAGUAGGGAAUUGUGCGCAAGGGGCGAAAGCCUGACGCGGCAACGCCGCGUGAACGAUUAAGCCCUUCGGGGUGGAAAGUUCUGUCAGUGGGGACGAAACUUGACGGUACCCACAGAGGAAGCACCGGCUAACUCCGUG